GAUUUCUUGAUUCUUACUCAUCAUUCACUUUCUUUUUCUCUCCACUCCAGUCCAUAACUCUGUCUCUCCAGGGCUUUAUAUGUUGUCAGGCAAUCAAGCGUUUAUUUGGGCCACUCAAUCUGCAGAGCGAGGUCUGAGAUCUAUAGCUAUUCGGACGAGGGUCUGGAUCAAUGCAGGAACGCCA
Molecule: long non-coding RNA, 184 nt
Filed under: Sinocyclocheilus grahami
Lineage: Eukaryota; Metazoa; Chordata; Actinopteri; Cypriniformes; Cyprinidae
Description: lncRNA (ENSSGRG00000017050.1)
Source: RNAcentral